UUAAGCGACUAAGCGUACACGGUGGAUGCCCUGGCAGUCAGAGGCGAUGAAGGACGUGCUAAUCUGCGAUAAGCGUCGGUAAGGUGAUAUGAACCGUUAUAACCGGCGAUUUCCGAAUGGGGAAACCCAGUGUGUUUCGACACACUAUCAUUAACUGAAUCCAUAGGUUAAUGAGGCGAACCGGGGGAACUGAAACAUCUAAGUACCCCGAGGAAAAGAAAUCAACCGAGAUUCCCCCAGUAGCGGCGAGCGAACGGGGAGGAGCCCAGAGCCUGAAUCAGUGUGUGUGUUAGUGGAAGCGUCUGGAAAGGCGCGCGAUACAGGGUGACAGCCCCGUACACAAAAAUGCACAUGCUGUGAGCUCGAUGAGUAGGGCGGGACACGUGGUAUCCUGUCUGAAUAUGGGGGGACCAUCCUCCAAGGCUAAAUACUCCUGACUGACCGAUAGUGAACCAGUACCGUGAGGGAAAGGCGAAAAGAACCCCGGCGAGGGGAGUGAAAAAGAACCUGAAACCGUGUACGUACAAGCAGUGGGAGCCUCUUUUAUGGGGUGACUGCGUACCUUUUGUAUAAUGGGUCAGCGACUUAUAUUCUGUAGCAAGGUUAACCGAAUAGGGGAGCCGAAGGGAAACCGAGUCUUAACUGGGCGUUAAGUUGCAGGGUAUAGACCCGAAACCCGGUGAUCUAGCCAUGGGCAGGUUGAAGGUUGGGUAACACUAACUGGAGGACCGAACCGACUAAUGUUGAAAAAUUAGCGGAUGACUUGUGGCUGGGGGUGAAAGGCCAAUCAAACCGGGAGAUAGCUGGUUCUCCCCGAAAGCUAUUUAGGUAGCGCCUCGUGAAUUCAUCUCCGGGGGUAGAGCACUGUUUCGGCAAGGGGGUCAUCCCGACUUACCAACCCGAUGCAAACUGCGAAUACCGGAGAAUGUUAUCACGGGAGACACACGGCGGGUGCUAACGUCCGUCGUGAAGAGGGAAACAACCCAGACCGCCAGCUAAGGUCCCAAAGUCAUGGUUAAGUGGGAAACGAUGUGGGAAGGCCCAGACAGCCAGGAUGUUGGCUUAGAAGCAGCCAUCAUUUAAAGAAAGCGUAAUAGCUCACUGGUCGAGUCGGCCUGCGCGGAAGAUGUAACGGGGCUAAACCAUGCACCGAAGCUGCGGCAGCGACGCUUAUGCGUUGUUGGGUAGGGGAGCGUUCUGUAAGCCUGCGAAGGUGUGCUGUGAGGCAUGCUGGAGGUAUCAGAAGUGCGAAUGCUGACAUAAGUAACGAUAAAGCGGGUGAAAAGCCCGCUCGCCGGAAGACCAAGGGUUCCUGUCCAACGUUAAUCGGGGCAGGGUGAGUCGACCCCUAAGGCGAGGCCGAAAGGCGUAGUCGAUGGGAAACAGGUUAAUAUUCCUGUACUUGGUGUUACUGCGAAGGGGGGACGGAGAAGGCUAUGUUGGCCGGGCGACGGUUGUCCCGGUUUAAGCGUGUAGGCUGGUUUUCCAGGCAAAUCCGGAAAAUCAAGGCUGAGGCGUGAUGACGAGGCACUACGGUGCUGAAGCAACAAAUGCCCUGCUUCCAGGAAAAGCCUCUAAGCAUCAGGUAACAUCAAAUCGUACCCCAAACCGACACAGGUGGUCAGGUAGAGAAUACCAAGGCGCUUGAGAGAACUCGGGUGAAGGAACUAGGCAAAAUGGUGCCGUAACUUCGGGAGAAGGCACGCUGAUAUGUAGGUGAAGUCCCUCGCGGAUGGAGCUGAAAUCAGUCGAAGAUACCAGCUGGCUGCAACUGUUUAUUAAAAACACAGCACUGUGCAAACACGAAAGUGGACGUAUACGGUGUGACGCCUGCCCGGUGCCGGAAGGUUAAUUGAUGGGGUCAGCGCAAGCGAAGCUCUUGAUCGAAGCCCCGGUAAACGGCGGCCGUAACUAUAACGGUCCUAAGGUAGCGAAAUUCCUUGUCGGGUAAGUUCCGACCUGCACGAAUGGCGUAAUGAUGGCCAGGCUGUCUCCACCCGAGACUCAGUGAAAUUGAACUCGCUGUGAAGAUGCAGUGUACCCGCGGCAAGACGGAAAGACCCCGUGAACCUUUACUAUAGCUUGACACUGAACAUUGAGCCUUGAUGUGUAGGAUAGGUGGGAGGCUUUGAAGUGUGGACGCCAGUCUGCAUGGAGCCGACCUUGAAAUACCACCCUUUAAUGUUUGAUGUUCUAACGUGGACCCGUAAUCCGGGUUGCGGACAGUGUCUGGUGGGUAGUUUGACUGGGGCGGUCUCCUCCUAAAGAGUAACGGAGGAGCACGAAGGUUGGCUAAUCCUGGUCGGACAUCAGGAGGUUAGUGCAAUGGCAUAAGCCAGCUUGACUGCGAGCGUGACGGCGCGAGCAGGUGCGAAAGCAGGUCAUAGUGAUCCGGUGGUUCUGAAUGGAAGGGCCAUCGCUCAACGGAUAAAAGGUACUCCGGGGAUAACAGGCUGAUACCGCCCAAGAGUUCAUAUCGACGGCGGUGUUUGGCACCUCGAUGUCGGCUCAUCACAUCCUGGGGCUGAAGUAGGUCCCAAGGGUAUGGCUGUUCGCCAUUUAAAGUGGUACGCGAGCUGGGUUUAGAACGUCGUGAGACAGUUCGGUCCCUAUCUGCCGUGGGCGCUGGAGAAUUGAGGGGGGCUGCUCCUAGUACGAGAGGACCGGAGUGGACGCAUCACUGGUGUUCGGGUUGUCAUGCCAAUGGCACUGCCCGGUAGCUAAAUGCGGAAGAGAUAAGUGCUGAAAGCAUCUAAGCACGAAACUUGCCCCGAGAUGAGUUCUCCCUGACUCCUUGAGAGUCCUGAAGGAACGUUGAAGACGACGACGUUGAUAGGCCGGGUGUGUAAGCGCAGCGAUGCGUUGAGCUAACCGGUACUAAUGAACCGUGAGGCUUAACCUU
Molecule: ribosomal RNA, 2902 nt
Filed under: Escherichia coli
Lineage: Bacteria; Pseudomonadati; Pseudomonadota; Gammaproteobacteria; Enterobacterales; Enterobacteriaceae
Also listed under: 1 other name
Description: bacterial LSU rRNA
Rfam family: Bacterial large subunit ribosomal RNA
Source: RNAcentral